CCAGACUCCUACGGGAGGCAGCAGUGGGGAAUAUUGGUCAAUGGCCGAGAGGCUGAACCAGCCAAGUCGCGUGAGGGAAGACGGCCCUACGGGUUGUAAACCUCUUUUGUCGGGGAGCAAAGAGAGUCACGUGUGACUCAUUGAGAGUACCCGAAGAAAAAGCAUCGGCUAACUCCGUGCCAGCAGCCGCGGUAAUACGGAGGAUGCGAGCGUUAUCCGGAUUUAUUGGGUUUAAAGGGUGCGCAGGCGGAGGUGCAAGUCAGCGGUCAAAUUGCGGGGCUCAACCCCGUACUGCCGUUGAAACUGGGUGCCUUGAGUGGGCGAGAAGUAUGCGGAAUGCGCGGUGUAGCGGUGAAAUGCAUAGAUAUCGCGCAGAACUCCGAUUGCGAAGGCAGCAUGCCGGCUCCACACUGACGCUGAGGCACGAAAGCGUGGGUAUCGAACAGGAUUAGAUACCCGUGUA
RNAcentral lists this ribosomal RNA (463 nucleotides) under uncultured bacterium. RNAcentral describes it as "bacterial SSU rRNA". It matches the Rfam family "Bacterial small subunit ribosomal RNA", at positions 331 to 792 of the family's 1533-position model. The record is from RNAcentral.